UCUAAAGACAAUACCUUAGGCUUGGUGCCACUGUAUUUCCACCUAAGAGAUGUAUUUCAGUAGAAUUUUCCAUUUCUCAGUUGUUAGGGUUAUUGUGAUAUCCCAAGUGCUAAUUAAGGUAAAUGGGUGCCAUAUACAGAUUCAGAAUAACGAGUGCAUGAUAAAAUUUAUGCUGCAGAAUCAAAGCAUAAUAAAUCUCUU
RNAcentral lists this long non-coding RNA (201 nucleotides) under Carica papaya (papaya). RNAcentral describes it as "long non-coding RNA (CPAP_LNC003974)". The record is from RNAcentral. Lineage: Eukaryota; Viridiplantae; Streptophyta; Magnoliopsida; Brassicales; Caricaceae.